GGGAGGGGAGCCCGGGGCCGAUAGUCUCUGGGAAAAAGCAAAAGGCGGGCGCGAGGCUGCCUCCCAAGGCUCUCUUUGCUUACAGUUCCUCCCGUUUUGCUGAGUUGGGAGUCGCGACCUCCAGCACAGGAUGUGGUGCCACAGGUUGUCCCACCUACAAAGCAGGCUCCAGAACCUGCUGAGGAGAGGAGUCACAUGUUGGGCCUUCCAACAGCUCAACUUCAAAAGCUUAUUUCCAUUAGUCAUCCAUUCGCAUCAUACAGCCUCCGAGUCUCUGAAUUGCGCUUGGCAGCAACAUGAAGAUCAUUUUGAACUGCAAUAUGCAAACACCGUGAUGCGCUUUGAUUAUGUCUGGCUUCGAGACCACUGCCGCUCAGCAUCUUGCUACAACUCUAAGACUCACCAGCGCAGCCUGGAUACUGCCAGUGUGGAUUUAUGCAUCAAGCCAAAGACCAUUCGUCUGGAUGAGACCACACUCUUUUUCACUUGGCCAGAUGGUCAUGUGACUAAAUAUGAUUUGGAUUGGCUGGUGAGAAACAGCUAUGAAGGGCAGAAACAAAAGGUCAUCCAACCUAGAAUCUUAUGGAAUGCUGAAAUCUAUCAGCAAGCUCAAGUUCCAUCUGUAGAUUUCCAAAGCUUCUUAGAAACCAAUGAGGGAUUGAAGAACUUUCUGCAAAAUUUUCUGCUGUAUGGAAUUGCAUUCGUAGAAAAUGUCCCUCCCACUCAAGAACACACAGAGAAGUUGGCAGAAAGGAUCAGCUUGAUCAGAGAAACCAUCUAUGGGAGGAUGUGGUAUUUUACUUCAGACUUCUCCAGGGGUGACACUGCAUACACCAAGCUGGCUUUGGAUCGGCACACUGACACUACCUAUUUUCAAGAACCCUGUGGCAUUCAAGUGUUUCACUGUCUUAAGCAUGAAGGAACAGGUGGCAGGACACUGCUGGUAGAUGGAUUCUAUGCAGCAGAACAGGUACUUCAAAAGGCACCUGAGGAAUUUGAACUCCUCACCAAAGUGCCAUUGAAGCAUGAAUAUAUUGAAAAUGUUGGAGAAUGUCACAACCACAUGAUUGGGGUUGGGCCAGUCUUAAAUAUCUACCCAUGGAAUAAAGAGCUCUAUUUGAUCAGAUACAACAACUAUGACAGAGCUGUCAUCAAUACUGUACCUUAUGAUGUUGUCCAUCGUUGGUAUACAGCACACCGGACUCUGACAGUAGAGUUGAGGAGACCUGAGAAUGAGUUUUGGGUCAAACUAAAGCCUGGCAGGGUCCUAUUUAUAGACAACUGGCGUGUCCUACAUGGCAGGGAAUCGUUUACUGGCUACCGCCAACUCUGUGGCUGCUAUUUAACAAGGGAUGAUGUAUUAAACACUGCUCGUCUCUUGGGGCUUCAGGCUUAAAAUUGACAGCAUUAGGAUUAUGGACACACCUGGCACCCUGGCUACCAGAAUUUCAUAUCAGCAAAUGGCUCCCUUUAUAUAUGGAUGGAGAGACAGAGAGAUGGGUGAAGGUGGAAAGCACCGCAAGGCCUGUCCACUGACGCACGGGAUGCACAACACGUGGUCUAUCCAUGCCGUGGGAUAUUAUUCGGCCAUCCAUCAAAAGACACGAAGUGCUGAUUCAGGCUACCAGGUGGAGGAACCCUCAUGAAAACACGGGUGCUAAGUGAAAGCAGCCCGACCCCAAAAGCCACCGAUUGGUCUUACGAUCCCAUCUCUAGGUAAGUCUCCCGAAGAGGCAAACCUCUGUGGACCGGAAGCACAUGAGGGGUUGCCUGGGGGCUACGGGGGAGGUGGGGAGGGACGGAGGUGCUGUGGGGCGGGGGGGAGGGGGGGGAGUGACUACCUGACAGGUACAGGGGUCUCUUUUUGGGAGUGGUGCCCACGUUUUGGAACUAGAGAGUCGUGUUGGUCGCCCGACACCUCGAGUGUCUGCUUGGUACCACCGGACCCUCCACGUCUGUUUUUUGUUUUUUUGUUUUUCUUUUCUGUACAAUGUCCCCGUGGGGCGGAAAGUGAGCAUUCCCCUCAAAGAGA
RNA transcript from Zalophus californianus (California sea lion), 2032 nucleotides. It is a transcript of the gene named trimethyllysine hydroxylase, epsilon, with no coding region annotated. The record is from RefSeq and is a predicted model, not a curated record. The transcript has 10 exons. Lineage: Eukaryota; Metazoa; Chordata; Mammalia; Carnivora; Otariidae.